Molecule: unclassified non-coding RNA, 215 nt
Filed under: uncultured Actinomycetes bacterium
Lineage: Bacteria; Bacillati; Actinomycetota; Actinomycetes
Description: uncultured actinobacterium contains 16S-23S intergenic spacer region
Rfam family: Bacterial small subunit ribosomal RNA
Source: RNAcentral
UGGGUUUGACAUACACCAUGUCGCCGCAGAGAUGUGGUUUCUUUUGGUGGUGUACAGGUGGUGCAUGGCUGUCGUCAGCUCGUGUCGUGAGAUGUUGGGUUAAGUCCCGCAACGAGCGCAACCCUCGUUCCAUGUUGCCAGCAUUUAGUUGGGGACUCAUGGGAGACUGCCGGGGUCAACUCGGAGGAAGGUGGGGAUGACGUGUAACCGAAUCU